This is a non-coding RNA of Paramuricea clavata, 460 nucleotides long. The record is from the annotation of a GenBank genome assembly. Lineage: Eukaryota; Metazoa; Cnidaria; Anthozoa; Malacalcyonacea; Plexauridae.
CACGCUAUGGUAUAACGAGAUGGAUUUAUUUAAAGCUGUAUUGAAGUGGACUGAUCACCAAUGUUCAUUGCAAAAUUUGAUAACAACGCGAGAAAACCGCAGAAAGGUACUUGGUAAUGCGAUAUACUUCAUCCGGUUUCUGCUUAUGAAUCAAAGUGAAUUUGCGACACAUGUUCUGCCAAUAGAUAUGCUAGAUGAUCACGAAACUGUCGCUAUAAUAAAGUGGAUGGCUGGUGAACAAGUGCCUUACUUAGCCUGGGAUUCUGUUAAGUUAAGAAAUAAACGGCUUCCCGAGUGGCUUACAGCUACUACGAAGAAGAGUAAUUCGUGGACACACUACUUCGGAGUUUUUGUCUUUGGAUAUUUAAUUCCUUUAAUUACUUAUUUAAUUUUUGGCAUAGGUAUUUUCGCUUGUAUUAUUUUCGCGAAAGAGAAAUGGGAUAGAUAUGUUAGAUGUAGG